RNAcentral lists this ribosomal RNA (273 nucleotides) under uncultured bacterium. Its description in RNAcentral is "partial 16S ribosomal RNA". It matches the Rfam family "Bacterial small subunit ribosomal RNA", at positions 524 to 796 of the family's 1533-position model. The record is from RNAcentral.
UACGAAGGGGGCUAGCGUUGUUCGGAAUUACUGGGCGUAAAGCGCGCGCAGGCGGCCUUUCAAGUCGGUGGUGAAAUCCCAAAGCUCAACUUUGGAAUUGCCAUCGAAACUGUAAGGCUUGGGUACGGGAGAGGUGAGUGGAAUUCCGAGUGUAGAGGUGAAAUUCGUAGAUAUUCGGAAGAACACCAGUGGCGAAGGCGGCUCACUGGCCCGUUACCGACGCUCAGGCGCGACAGCGUGGGGAGCAAACAGGAUGAGAAACCCCAGUAGUCC